Long non-coding RNA from Dendronephthya gigantea, 832 nucleotides. RefSeq lists it as uncharacterized. The transcript is spliced from 3 exons. Lineage: Eukaryota; Metazoa; Cnidaria; Anthozoa; Malacalcyonacea; Nephtheidae. The record is from RefSeq and is a predicted model, not a curated record.
AUGGCCACAUCCGCGGAAAACGUUCCAGAGAGGGUUAACUCUUUCGCAGCUGAUCAAAUCGCACUUUCUAUGACAGGGAAUAUAUAAAGUGUCAAUUCGCUUUCUGCUGUAAUUUGGCUUUCUGGGUGGAACAAAUGCAGAUUGGAAGAAAUGGAGUUCAUGCUUGCAAGCAUCAAUUUCUUUAGCUUUGCGUGAAAUUUCAUCAGCUGUAUCAGUUUCUUUGGUUUGUUUUCUCAAGACUGAGUGAAAGUUUUCCACUGGAUACUCAUCGAAUGCAGAACAUCGAGAGAAUAAGAUCCCUGAUCAAUGUCCAUCCGCCAUAAAUGAUUUCAAGCAACAGAGAUGUACGCCAUGGUUUUGGUUUCUUAGCCAGCUUUGCUUUUUUCCCAAAGAUGAAAGCAUAAAGGUCAGCAAAAACAUUGUGAAAAUUCAAUAAGACACAUUCUCUUGCAUUUAAGGAUAUAUGUAGUGGACCAAUCAGGGGAACCACAUUUUUCAACACUGUUGGCACACUGGGAGAUGAUGAAUAAACCAACUGUCUAAUGAAAUAUUGCAUGGGCCAGUCCCCAACAAAGGGUGCAAUAAAGUCCUUAAGAUAAAUUUCCAAGCCACUUGUAAGCAUUUUGUUUAUAGCUGUUAGUGCAUUUUCUACAGAUUUGAGAGGUAACUCGAUGCUGUCAACCAGUUUGGUGUUAUCCAUGCAUGUAAUGUUAUGAUUCUCCACUUGUUGAUAAUCAUGAAUUAGAAGUCGUUGUCUCUCAGCUUCUGGAUCAAAAUAUUUUGAUAAUGCCCAGCUAGGCAUAUUUUCAGCAUAUGUUUUAGCUAAUUUUGG